UUGCCAUUGAAACAAUAACCCACUAACCUGGUCAGGACGGAAACGAAGCAGCCAAAUGAGGAAGUGUUGUGUUCAGUGGUUUUUU
Molecule: signal recognition particle RNA, 85 nt
Filed under: Mycoplasma sp. Pen4
Lineage: Bacteria; Bacillati; Mycoplasmatota; Mollicutes; Mycoplasmatales; Mycoplasmataceae
Description: Bacterial small signal recognition particle RNA
Rfam family: Bacterial small signal recognition particle RNA
About the family: The signal recognition particle (SRP) is a universally conserved ribonucleoprotein involved in the co-translational targeting of proteins to membranes. Archaeal SRP consists of a 7S RNA and homologues of the eukaryotic SRP19 and SRP54 proteins.
Source: Rfam by way of RNAcentral